This 336-nucleotide long non-coding RNA is filed under the name Lonchura striata (white-rumped munia). RNAcentral's name for it is "domestica (Bengalese finch) lncRNA (ENSLSDG00000001119.1)". Lineage: Eukaryota; Metazoa; Chordata; Aves; Passeriformes; Estrildidae. The record is from RNAcentral.
AGUCUCUUAGAGUCUUAGGAGCCACUAUGUGCCUUUUGGAGUCAAAAUGGUGGUAAGGAAUUAUAAAAUGUAUUGUUAAAGUCAACUGUAUUUUUUCUAGGGUGAAGCAGGUGAAAUAAUUACAUCCUUGCUGCCAGGACAGAAAGGUGACCCAGGAUUUCCAGGUCUUCCAGGGAUACCUGGCCCCCCUGGCUCCGUGGGAAUUCCAGGUCCAGUUGGCCCUCCAGGGCCCCCAGGUUUGACAGGACCUCCUGGUCCACCAGGGCUUCCAGGACCCAAGGGUAAUAUGGGUUUGAAUUUCCAAGGACCCAAAGGUGAAAAAGUGAGUAGGUGAUC